UGAUGAGAGCGGUGGGUGGACUGUCUCUGAAUUUCCACUUCUUUUGCUUGCUUUGCUGA
RNAcentral lists this small RNA (59 nucleotides) under Euglena gracilis. Its description in RNAcentral is "Eg-m-Orphan13 box C/D-like small RNA". The record is from RNAcentral. Lineage: Eukaryota; Euglenozoa; Euglenophyceae; Euglenales; Euglenaceae.